ACUCAAAUGAAUUGACGGGGACCCGCACAAGCGGUGGAGCGUGUUGUUUAAUUCGACGAUAAGCGAAGAACCUUACCAGGGUUUGACAUCCUUGGAAUUUUUGCGAAAGCAAAAAGUGCCUUUUGGAACCAAGUGACAGGUGAUGCAUGGCCGUCGUCAGCUCGUGUCGUGAGAUGUUGGGUUAAGUCCCGCAACGAGCGCAACCCUUAUGGUUAGUUGGAUUUCUCUAACCAGACUGCCUCGGCAACGGGGAGGAAGGAGGGGAUGAUGUCAGGUCAGUAUUUCCCUUACAUCCUGGGCUACAAACACGCUACAAUGGCCGGUACAGAGGGCAGCUAAGUCGCAAGACGGAGCAAAUCCCAUCAAAGCCGGUCUCAGUUCGGAUUGUAGGCUGAAACUCGCCUGCAUGAAGCCGGAAUCGCUAGUAACCGUAGGUCAGCACACUACGGUGAAUACGUUCCCGGGUCUUGUACACACCGCCCGU
This 484-nucleotide ribosomal RNA is filed under the name uncultured bacterium. RNAcentral describes it as "partial 16S ribosomal RNA". It matches the Rfam family "Bacterial small subunit ribosomal RNA", at positions 899 to 1397 of the family's 1533-position model. The record is from RNAcentral.